GGCCUCAUCGUCUAGGGGACUAGGACACCAGGCUUUCAUCCUGGGAACCCGGGUUCGAAUCCCGGUGAGGUCA
RNAcentral lists this transfer RNA (73 nucleotides) under Candidatus Microgenomates bacterium. Its description in RNAcentral is "tRNA-Glu". It matches the Rfam family "tRNA". From Rfam's summary of the family: Transfer RNA (tRNA) molecules are approximately 80 nucleotides in length. The record is from RNAcentral. Lineage: Bacteria; Candidatus Microgenomatota.